AAAGAGAAGAACGGAAGUUGUUGAUUUAAGGUUGUCUAAAUGAAUAUUUUGAAAUGUAAAUUAGAAAAGAGAGAGAGAGAGAGAGAGAGAGAGAGAGAGAGAGAGAGAGAGAGAGAGAGAGAUAUGCUUGUUUAGGUGAGCUUUUCUCAAGAAAUUAUGUUUGUCAAAAAUUGACAAAGUUCCACCAGUUAAUGGAAUAGAAUUAUUGGAAUGCUGUUUAGGUGAUUUUGAUAGUGACCCCAAGUAAGUAGAUUGUGGAAAUCUGUGUGUAGCAUUUGUUUAAUGCAGGACUGAGAAGGACCAAGGCAUUCUUGGCACUAAACAAGCAUACCUUGAACCAACAACUCAUUUAAAGAAUUUGUGGAUGAGAGACUACAGGAGAAUAACUUAAGGAAGUGGCUGAAUGGCAUUUCCCCCUUGCACUUCUUCCCUUUCCCCAAUGCAGUUCUGCCUCCACCAGCUCUAGAGCUGUCCAUCAUCCCUCCAAGACAGACCUUUCUCCAGGGACAACGGAUCAAGUUGAAAUGCUCCCACCCGGAAGGGCAGCUGGCAGCCAAGUUCUUAUUUUAUGAAAUGAAAGCUGAUGGUGGGUGGACUAAACUCCAAGAACAGUUCGAUAAUACCCUGGAAAUCACUGCAGAAUUUCAGGAAACAAAGAAAUCAUUUGUCUGUGCCUACAUGGAAGAAAGCAGUGCAGGACAACUGUCUGAACGGAGUAACCGCAUUGAGGUUUCCAUUAUAGGCCGCCUUCAUCCUCCAUUCUUCUCUGUGUCCCCGAAGCUUGACAUCUACAGCAGUGGGGAGAUUGUGAACUUCACAUGCUCUGCUCCUGAAAACAUUCUCAUGUCGAGGGUUUUCUUUGGGAAGGACCGAUGGCUGUUGCAUGUCUACAGGCCCCCUUCUCCUCUGGCCUCCUUUACGUACACGAGGCGCUUGUCUCCUCAAGACAGCGGGGAGCAUCUUUGCACGUACCGAGCUGCAGAAUCGAGCUGGAACAUCUCAUCCCUAGAAAGCAGAAGGAUCAGGAUUUCGGUGAUGGCUCCUCCUCCUGCCCCGGUGCUGACAGUGGAUCCUCCGUCUGGAGUGGUGAAGGAAGGGGGAUUCCUGCGCCUCACUUGCUCGGCCUUUGGCAGCGACGCAGAGCAAAGGUUUCAUUUCUACAGGGAUGGGGUGAAGAUUUCCUCCAGCAGUGAAGAGUCUCUGGCGGACUCCGGAGAACCCAGGAAUGCCUUCUCGAACGCCUCUGCAAACAUCCUGGUCCAAGUCACAGCCAGCAUCCACACUGGGGGAUUUGCUUGCAGGUAUGAGCAGAAACUGAGCAGCCGAUGGAUCAUGUCUCCCUGGAGCCAAACAGUGAAUCUCACAGCGGAAUACUGA
Molecule: long non-coding RNA, 1377 nt
Filed under: Podarcis muralis (Common wall lizard)
Lineage: Eukaryota; Metazoa; Chordata; Lepidosauria; Squamata; Lacertidae
Description: lncRNA (ENSPMRG00000021269.1)
Source: RNAcentral